This 86-nucleotide transfer RNA is filed under the name Nostoc linckia z16. RNAcentral's name for it is "tRNA-Tyr". It matches the Rfam family "tRNA". From Rfam's summary of the family: Transfer RNA (tRNA) molecules are approximately 80 nucleotides in length. Their secondary structure includes four short double-helical elements and three loops (D, anti-codon, and T loops). Further hydrogen bonds mediate the characteristic L-shaped molecular structure. tRNAs have two regions of fundamental functional importance: the anti-codon, which is responsible for specific mRNA codon recognition, and the 3' end, to which the tRNAs corresponding amino acid is attached (by aminoacyl-tRNA synthetases). tRNAs cope with the degeneracy of the genetic code in two manners: having more than one tRNA (with a specific anti-codon) for a particular amino acid; and 'wobble' base-pairing, i.e. permitting non-standard base-pairing at the 3rd anti-codon position. Lineage: Bacteria; Bacillati; Cyanobacteriota; Cyanophyceae; Nostocales; Nostocaceae. The record is from RNAcentral.
GGGGAGAUACUCAAGCGGCCAACGAGGGCAGACUGUAAAUCUGCUGGUUUWCACCUUCGCAGGUUCGAAUCCUGCUCUCCCCACAA